This 497-nucleotide ribosomal RNA is filed under the name uncultured bacterium. RNAcentral's name for it is "partial 16S ribosomal RNA". It matches the Rfam family "Bacterial small subunit ribosomal RNA", at positions 28 to 507 of the family's 1533-position model. The record is from RNAcentral.
GAUGAACGCUGGCGGCGUGCCUAAUACAUGCAAGUCGAGCGAACAGACGAGGAGCUUGCUCCUCUGACGUUAGCGGCGGACGGGUGAGUAACACGUGGAUAACCUACCUAUAAGACUGGGAUAACUUCGGGAAACCAGAGCUAAUACCGGAUAAUAUAUUGAACCGCAUGGUUCAAUAGUGAAAGACGGUUUUGCUGUCACUUAUAGAUGGAUCCGCGCCGCAUUAGCUAGUUGGUAAGGUAACGGCUUACCAAGGCGACGAUGCGUAGCCGACCUGAGAGGGUGAUCGGCCACACUGGAACUGAGACACGGUCCAGACUCCUACGGGAGGCAGCAGUAGGGAAUCUUCCGCAAAGGGCGAAAGCCUGACGGAGCAACGCCGCGUGAGUGAUGAAGGUCUUCGGAUCGUAAAACUCUGUUAUUAGGGAAGAACAAAUGUGUAAGUAACUAUGCACGUCUUGACGGUACCUAAUCAGAAAGCCACGGCUAACUACGUG